This 359-nucleotide long non-coding RNA is filed under the name Dicentrarchus labrax (European seabass). RNAcentral describes it as "lncRNA (ENSDLAG00005032660.1)". The record is from RNAcentral. Lineage: Eukaryota; Metazoa; Chordata; Actinopteri; Moronidae.
GGGGUCACUGUGGUUUUUGCUCCUGGGGUAACUGUGGUAGUUGCUACUGGGGCCUGUGUGGCUGUUGCUCCUGGGGCAGCUGUGGUUGUUGCUCCUGGGGUCACUGUGGUAGUUGCUCCUGGGGCCUGUGUGGUUGUUUCUCCUGCGACAGCUGUGGUAGUUGCUCCUGGGCAGCUGUGGUUGUUGCUCCUAGGGUUACUUUGGCGGUUGCUCCUGGGGCAGCUGUGGUUGUUCCUCCUGGGGUCACUGUGAUAGUUGCUCCUGGGGCCUGUGUGGUUGUUGCUCCUGCAGCAGCUGUUGUAGUUUCUCCUUGGGCAGCUGUGGUUGUUGCUCCUAGGGCAGCAGUUGCUGUUCCUUGA